AUGCUCACCUCAGCAGCAUAUAUACUAAAAAUUAGAACAAUACAGAGAAGAUUAGCAUGGCCCCUGUGCAAGGAUGAGAUGCAAAUUCGUGAAGCAUUCCAUAUUUUU
Molecule: small nuclear RNA, 108 nt
Organism: Saimiri boliviensis boliviensis (Bolivian squirrel monkey)
Lineage: Eukaryota; Metazoa; Chordata; Mammalia; Primates; Cebidae
Source: Ensembl